GCCGGGUGCAGUGGCGCGCGCCUGUAAUCCAAGCUGCUGGGAGGCUGAGGCUGGCGGAUCGCUUGAGUUCAGGGGUUCUGGGCUGCAGUGGACUGUGUCGAUCGGGUGUCCGCGCUAAGUUCGGUAUCGAUAUGGUGCUCCUGGGGGAGCUCGGGACCACCAGGUUGUCUAAGGAGGGGUGAACCGGCCCAGGUCGGAGACGGAGCAGGUCAAAGCCCCCGUGCCGAUCAGUAGUGGGGUCGCACCUGUGAAUAGACACUGCAGUGCAGCCUGAGCGAUACAGCGAGACUCAGACUUUU
Molecule: unclassified non-coding RNA, 299 nt
Organism: Cyprinus carpio (common carp)
Lineage: Eukaryota; Metazoa; Chordata; Actinopteri; Cypriniformes; Cyprinidae
Rfam family: Metazoan signal recognition particle RNA
About the family: The signal recognition particle (SRP) is a universally conserved ribonucleoprotein.
Source: Ensembl